This is a long non-coding RNA of Aethalodelphis obliquidens (Pacific white-sided dolphin), 2786 nucleotides long. RefSeq lists it as uncharacterized. The transcript is spliced from 4 exons. NCBI's taxonomy places the organism in Eukaryota, Metazoa, Chordata, Mammalia, Artiodactyla, Delphinidae. The record is from RefSeq and is a predicted model, not a curated record.
CCCAGGGGAUGCUGAUGCUGGGACCAUGGGGACCUGUUGACCACACUUUGAGAGCUGCUGAUUUACAUGACGACCUGGAGCGUGAAGUUAUGACGUGCGUUGGGGAAACUGAGCUCUCCGUCUGGAGAGAGAAGCAGACUCACCAUCAGCUUCUAAGACGAUCUCCCGAAUGAGUGGGUGACGUGAGGAACCUCGACUCUCGGAGGCCCCGUCCUCGCAGGCACAGACCCUGAGACCCUGGGUUCUCGCCCCCGGUGACCUAUCUCAGGCAAAAUAUUGAUCAUGCUGGAACUGUCACAUCAGCUCUGGGACAAAAGCUUUGCCUCCAUAACGGGUUGAACUGGUGCCACGACCUCCAUCGAGGAAACCAGCCAACACACCAUUUGGGGAUUCGAGAAUGCUGAAGUGUUCAGCGGUACAGCCUUCUUUCACAACAGCCAAAAAGUGGAAACAACCCACAUGUCCAUUGACGGAUGGAUGGAUAAACAAAAUGUGGUCCAUGCCUGCAGUGGAAUAUGAUUCAGCCGUAAAAAGGGCUGAAGCCCUGACACGUGCUACAAUACGGAUGAACCUUGAAAACAUCGUGUCCUGUGAAAGAAGGCAGACCCAAAAGGACAGAAACUGUAUGAUUCUAUUUACAUAAAAUACCCCAAAUAUGUAAAUUCAUAGAGACAGAAAGUAGAUUAGAGGUUGCCGAGGGCUGGGGGAGGGCAAAAUGGGGAGUUAUUGCUUAAUGGGGACAGAGUUUCUGUUUGCGAUGAUGACAAAAAGAAAUAGACGGUGGUGAUGGUUACACGACAGGUGGAUGUGUGAAUGCCAUUGAACUGCACACCUAGAAAGGAUUUACAAGGUAAAUGUUAUGUCAUGUGUAUUUUAUGACAAUUUUUUUAAAUGGGAAGAAAAGUGGCCUUUCUGCUCUUGGUGUAUGGAACUCCCCUCUCCACACUGGGGACGGCCCUCAAGGAAGCUGGGUGGACAGUGUGUAGUUGUGACGGACAUUCUAUCAGCCCUCCACCCCCCCAACCCCUGCCCCAGGCACCCCUUUGAUGGGCAUCUGCAUGGGAAGGACCCCUUCCCCCUUCCUCCCUCCCUCCCUCCUUCACGCUCUACUUUCUCACUUCUGUCCCUCCCCUUCUAAUGUUUUUCUUCCCAAUAUUCAGUUGAGAAAAUGUAACAUCUACCCAAGUGGUGCCCGUCCUCACACACAGAGUGAUGCUUUAUCGAGCCCUCCCUGUGUGGCUGCUGCUCACUGGGCACAGUGAACACAUUUAGCCUCCCAGCAGCCCUCAUGGUAGGUACCGUCAUUGCUCCCAUUUCACAGAUGAGAACACUGAGGCUCAGAGUCAGCCAGGAAGUGGAGGCGCUGGCACGUGAACCUUGCUGUCAGGCUGCUGUGCCUUCUCCUGAUCCCUGUCCCUUUCUGGUCCCUACAUUAGUGGGUAUAGAUUCACCACAGACCUAUGGAGACCAAGUGAGAGCACGCUGUUCAUGGCGUGCUUUUCCCACUAGGCUCUGAACAGAGGCAGCCUUUUCUGAUCUCCCUUCACUUCAUUUCCUCCCGGGAAUGUCUGAAGGCACUGAAGGAGAGCAGAACCCCUUUCCUCUACCCCUCGAGUGUAAACAUUUCAGCACCAUGCUGCCAGAGGAGGAAAAAAAAAAUCCCCACCUCCUGUUAAAAAACCAGAAAACCAGGCUGUGGAGAAUCAAAGGGAGCUUUGUACCGGGAGCCACCGUGGAGAGGGGAGAUGGGGGCCCUUCCAGGGCCAACCUCACCCUACCCCCGCCCCCGUAAGACUGGAAUCACAGCCUGAUGGCUCAGGAGAACAGGCAGGACCAAAGCCGGGAUCAACUGUGGAUCCAGCUCUGAGCACUGAGAUGGGUCUCUCCUCGCAGGCAGGGCUGAGGUUGCCAGCUAGGGCAGGGGGCUUGGGUUCUGCUACAAGGGGUCGAACUUGCUUAACUGGGGCCCCCAGAACAGUGAGUCUCCCCUUAAUUCUGUGGUGACAGCUCCCCUCACCCCACCCCAUCCCCUGCCUGCUUCUUUAUCUCAGGCGGCUUGAAAACAAAACAAUUUUCAUGUUAAGAACUAGAGGCCUGUGAAACUUUGGUGGCGGAGGGAAAGUGGGCACAUUUAGUCAAACCUAUAGGAAGGGGCUUCGGGGCUUUCAAGAGGCUGGAAAUCACCAUUGACUCUUCUGUCCCCCUAACCACCUUCAUGGAGGUCUCUUCACAGUAUAGACAGAGAAGGGUGUGGUGGGCUGGGCUCUGGGUAAUUCUGUAGGCACCGUGCUCACGACUCUGGGAAUUUAACACCAGGCACAUAAGGCGCUCUCAUUAUGAACGUUCCCCGAAGAUUCGAAUGAAGUAGGGGACACAGGACACCACCAAGUCAUGCUCAGCUCCCAGGGGACUGAUCACAAGCUAGCAUCGUGCUUCAAAGAUGACCGUACACGCCGUGUGAGUGCCCACCAAGUGCCAGGCACUUACAAUUAUUAGAAGUCGAUUCAUCCCCACUACAGACCAAGGAGGCAGGCACUGUGAGCGCCCAUUUUACAGAUGAGGAAACUGAGGCACAGAAAGGUUAAGUAACUUGCCCAAGGACACACAGAUAGUAAGCCGUAGAUAUGAGAUUCAAAACCAGGCAGUCUGGGAGCCCGUGCACGAAAAUCCUGCAUUACACAUGUGCCCAAAAUAUUGAUGCUUUCAGCCAGAGGAAAGCAUGGAGAAGCACACGCCCCUGGGCAGACAGACAGACAUGCAAGCACACACACUAAUAAAAGAUUCCU